Molecule: non-coding RNA, 218 nt
Organism: Alphaproteobacteria bacterium GWC2_42_16
Lineage: Bacteria; Pseudomonadati; Pseudomonadota; Alphaproteobacteria
Source: Rfam
AAAUUCCCGUCCUGGAAAGAGAGAAGCCCGCUCACCAGGGAUCGAGUCUUGGGCUUGUGGAGGUAACGACAUGAGUUAAGCGUAGACAGAGCGACAUUCAGGCCGUAAGCGCAAGUUGAAGUGAUUGAGCUCCGUGAAGACCGAUGAAUCGAGGGUCGACAGAGUCAUGAGUCUGGAAGGCUACAGUAAGCAACCGUUAAUUCUCUAUUCUUUAAUUC